RNAcentral lists this long non-coding RNA (1371 nucleotides) under Parus major (Great Tit). Its description in RNAcentral is "lncRNA (ENSPMJG00000009758.1)". Lineage: Eukaryota; Metazoa; Chordata; Aves; Passeriformes; Paridae. The record is from RNAcentral.
ACUUGCCGUGGAGAUGGAAGGCAGCCCCUCGAGGGAAGUGGUUGGUUUGAGUUGGCAUGCUGAGCAAUGAUGCAAGAACAUAAAAGUUUGGAAAUCAAGGCACCAGUCCUGCAGAAGGAUACAGAUAUACCUCCAGAGCCCUGUUUGUUAGGACCCCUGUCUCUGCCAGGUGUUUGUUUUUGCAGGACAGAAGGAAGAGUGGAUAAUCGACCUGUCCUCGGGUACUGUAUGAAUUUGGAAAUUGAGGAAAAAAAAGCAGUUACCCUGUUCAAUUUGAGGGUCUAUACAUUGGCUUUUUUUGUACUUUCCUUUUCCUAAUUACUGUAGUUGGGAUGCCCAGAAAAUCCAGGCCCUCUUUCCCAACGUUCCCUGUUGAAUGGGCUGUUUGUAAGUCUGUUUUUACCAGUGACAGUACACUACAGAGAGGCGUAGCCUCUGUAUUUUUUACAUUAAGAGGAAACAAAUUUAGAUUUUUUGAAGCCAGUGUAUUCUGUUGCUCAUACAGUGCCUCCUGUGCAAUAAUCUCUCUGAUGUAUUUUCCCUUGAUGUGUGAUUCCCCCCACUGUUCCUCAUUUAGGCUCAGUGCAUUAUUUGUGAGAGCAGGAGCUGCUGCGUCACUGUAGUGUUGAUGUGAUAUUACAGAAAUGAUGCAGCAGUUGCUGUUCAUUAUUACUCCCUGAAUUUCAUGAAUGUAUAACCUGCUUUAUUUCACUUUCAGUUGGAUUUUAUCUACGGGUUCUCAGCCAAAUUGUGUCCACUUAAAAAAAAAAACUAAGUAAAUUGGCCAAACUCUUUUGUUUUAAAAGCAGUGCAGGGGUUGUUUUGAUUGCUCUGAAAUUCAGUUUGUUUCAGGUGAGAGAGUAGGAAGUGCACAUAAGUUAUUAACUAAGAAGAAAAGCCCCACUGACAUUGAAAGUUCUAUUUUUACCAUUAAUCUGAAAGCAGAAACUGAGAGGAGUGCUGAAAUCUGGCUACUGAAUGUGUCUUUCAAACCAGCGUGGAAAAUUCGGUUUUCUGGCUGUGGUUGGCAAUCAUAGGAGAACACAUCUGGACAAACUCUUCAGAGAAAUAUCCAGAGGCAAAAGAAAAGAUGUGGCAUCUUUACCAGGAUGGGCUGGUUUGGAGGAAAAAACCUGCCCACAAGUGCAGCUUCCAUGCAAUGCUGUGGUACCAAUACCAUCAUGUAUUUUGUUCUUCCUUUGCAAUGGCAGUAAGAAACAAAGCAGGUAUAUUCACUGCUUUAUGAAACCAUGCUACCAGGAGUUCUUCAGCCAGUGCAUUCUCCAGGGAGCCACAACAUGCAGCUGGAACAGCAAAAAGCUGGAAUUGAAAGCUAUGCUGACUUUCAUUGGGAAGUCUUCAGCUGUCUAG